GCCUAACACCCUCCUCCGUGAGGGAGUGGCUAAAAUCCAAGGGUCACGAGCCCUAGGCCGUCCCCAAAGGUGGACUAAUGGCCACAGAAGAACUCUAGCCUAACACCCUCCUCCGUGAGGGAAUGGCUAAAAUCCAAGGGUCACGAGCCCUAGGCCGUCCCCAAAGGUGGACUAAUGGCCACGGAAGAACUCUAGCCUAACACCCUCCUCCGUGAGGGAGUGGCUAAAAUCCAAGGGUCACGAGCCCUAGGCCGUCCCCAAAGGUGGACUAAUGGCCACGGAAGAACUCUAGCCUAACACCCUCCUCCGUGAGGGAGUGGCUAAAAUCCAAGGGUCACGAGCCCUAGGCCAUCCCCAAAGGUGGACUAAUGGCCACGGAAGAACUCUAGCCUAACACUCUCCUCCGUGAGGGAGUGGUUAAAAUCAAAGGGUCACGAGCCCUAGGCCGUCCCCAAAUAUGGACUAAUGGCCACGGAAGAACUCUAGCCUAACACUCUCCUCCGUGAGGGAGUGGUUAAAAUCCAAGGGUCACGAGCCCUAAGCCGUCCCCAAAUGUGGACUAAUGGCCAUGGAAGAACUCUAGCCUAAUACCCUCAUCCGUGAGGGAGUGGCUAAAAUCCAAGGGUCACGAGCCCUAGGCCGUCCCCAAAGGUGGACUAAGGGCCAAGGAAAAAUUCUAGCCUAACACCCUUCUCCGCGAGAGAGUGGCUAAUAUUCAAGGGUCAAGAGCCCUAGGCUGUCCCCAAGACGAAGGUGGACUAAUGGCCGGAAGAAACUUAACACCCUCCUUUCCGUGAGAGUGGCGACAAUCCAAGGGUCAAGAGUCCUAGGCUGUCCCCAAGACGAAAGUGGACUAGUGGCCGGAAGAAACUCAACACCCUCCUUCGCGUGGGAGUGGCGACAAUCCAAGGAUCAUGAGCCCUGGACCGUUCUCGAAUUAAAGAAAUUUAGAAGGUCAGGGAAGGAAAACCACAACCGAGCACAAGCUAAAAGAAGCUCAAUAGGCGCGGUUUAGCUUGAAAAAAUCUCGAGUCACGCCUGCGAAAAAGAAGAG
This is a long non-coding RNA of Diospyros lotus (date-plum), 1054 nucleotides long. RefSeq lists it as uncharacterized. The transcript has 3 exons. The record is from RefSeq and is a predicted model, not a curated record. NCBI's taxonomy places the organism in Eukaryota, Viridiplantae, Streptophyta, Magnoliopsida, Ericales, Ebenaceae.